This 469-nucleotide ribosomal RNA is filed under the name uncultured bacterium. RNAcentral's name for it is "bacterial SSU rRNA". It matches the Rfam family "Bacterial small subunit ribosomal RNA", at positions 355 to 825 of the family's 1533-position model. The record is from RNAcentral.
UGGGGAAUCUUCCGCAAUGGGCGCAAGCCUGACGGAGCGACACCGCGUGCAGGAUGAAGGCCUUCGGGUUGUAAACUGCUGUCACGCCAUAGGAAUGUCAAACGGUAAACAGUCGUUUGAUUGACUAAAGCGAGAGGAAGAGCCGGCUAACUCUGUGCCAGCAGCCGCGGUAAGACAGAGGGCUCAAACGUUGUUCGGAAUCACUGGGCAUAAAGGGCGCGUAGGCGGCCUAACAAGUCGUUUGUGAAAUCCCCCAGCUCAACUGGGGAACUGCAUACGAUACUGUUUGGCUCGAGGACGGGAGGGGUAAGUGGAACUCCAGGUGGAACGGUGAAAUGUGUAGAUAUCUGGAGGAACACCGGUGGCGAAAGCGGCUUACUGGCCCGUAUCUGACGCUGAGGCGCGAAAGCUAGGGGAGCAAACGGGAUUAGAUACCCCCGUAGUCCCUGAGCGGGCUGGCAAGGCGCAU